Molecule: ribosomal RNA, 451 nt
Filed under: uncultured bacterium
Lineage: Bacteria
Description: partial 16S ribosomal RNA
Rfam family: Bacterial small subunit ribosomal RNA
Source: RNAcentral
AACGAACGCUGGCGGCAGGCUUAACACAUGCAAGUCGAGCGCUCACCUUCGGGUGGGAGCGGCAGACGGGUGAGUAACACGUGGGAAUCUACCCAGCUCUACGGAAUAACCCGGGGACACCCGGACUAAUACCGUAUACGUCCUUUUGGAGAAAGAUUUAUCGGAGUUGGAUGAGCCCGCGUUGGAUUAGCUAGUUGGUGGGGUAAAGGCCUACCAAGGCGACGAUCCAUAGCUGGUCUGAGAGGAUGAUCAGCCACACUGGGACUGAGACACGGCCCAGACUCCUACGGGAGGCAGCAGUGGGGAAUAUUGGACAAUGGGCGCAAGCCUGAUCCAGCCAUGCCGCGUGAGUGAUGAAGGCCCUAGGGUUGUAAAGCUCUUUCACCGGUGAAGAUAAUGACGGUAGCCGGAGAAGAAGCCCCGGCUAACUUCGUGCCAGCCGCCGCAGUAA